Molecule: ribosomal RNA, 496 nt
Filed under: uncultured bacterium
Lineage: Bacteria
Description: partial 16S ribosomal RNA
Rfam family: Bacterial small subunit ribosomal RNA
Source: RNAcentral
GAUGAACGCUGGCGGCGUGCCUAAUACAUGCAAGUCGAGCGAACAGACGAGGAGCUUGCUCCUCUGACGUUAGCGGCGGACGGGUGAGUAACACGUGGAUAACCUACCUAUAAGACUGGGAUAACUUCGGGAAACCGGAGCUAAUACCGGAUAUAUAUUGAACCGCAUGGUUCAAUAGUGAAAGACGGUUUUGCUGUCACUUAUAGAUGGAUCCGCGCCGCAUUAGCUAGUUGGUAAGGUAACGGCUUACCAAGGCGACGAUGCGUAGCCGACCUGAGAGGGUGAUCGGCCACACUGGAACUGAGACACGGUCCAGACUCCUACGGGAGGCAGCAGUAGGGAAUCUUCCGCAAUGGGCGAAAGCCUGACGGAGCAACGCCGCGUGAGUGAUGAAGGUCUUCGGAUCGUAAAACUCUGUUAUUAGGGAAGAACAAAUGUGUAAGUAACUAUGCACGUCUUGACGGUACCUAAUCAGAAAGCCACGGCUAACUACGUG